AGGUCACAGGAGCUAAAAAUAGAAAAAACCUUGUUAACACUCUAGUGGUCACAAUUUUGACUCAAUUGUCAUCAAACUUGGUCAGGAAACUUGUCUAGGUCAUUGCUGGGAAUAAAUCGAACAUGGGACAUCUCGGAUGAAAAACUAGGUCACAGGAGCUAAAAAUAGAAAAAUCUUGUUAACACUCUAGUGGCUACUGUUGUGAUCCAAAUAUUCUGUUAAUUGGUCUGAAAGUUUGUUUUGAUGAUUUCUAAGUCAAGAUCGAACAUGGGUCAUCUUGGAUGAAAAACUAGGUCACACCGCCCAAAUAUGGAAAAACCUUGUUAACAUUCUAGUGGUCACAUUUUCGACUCCAUUAUCAUCAAACUUGGUCAGAAUGCUUGUCUAGGUAAUUGCUUGGAUGAGUUCGAAAUCGCAUGUGAAACUAGGUCACCAGAGCUAAAAAUAGAAAAAUCUUGUUAACACUCUAGUUGCUACUGUUUUGAUCCAAGUAUCCUGGAAAUUGGUCUGAAAGUUUGUUUUGAUGAUUUCUAGGUCAAGUUUGAAUAUGUGUCACCUGGGUAAAAAACUAGGUCGCACUGCUCAAAUAUGGAUAAUCCUUGUUAACACUGUAGUGGUCACAUUUUUGACUCACCUGUCAUGAGACUUGGUCAGAAUGCUUGUCUAGGUAAUUGUUUGGAUGAGUUUGAUAAUUCAGGUGAGCGAUCUAGGGCCAUCAUGGCCCUCUUGUUUAGUAAUAUAAUGUUUGUGGUAUUUCAGGAAAUCAAGAAGGAAAUCAAAGAGUUACAACAAGCAUGUGAUGAUAUCAAGAAAGAAAUUAUUCAGAGACAGCUAGAGGUUAAAACAUUAAAGAAGAUUUAAAUACAUUUAAUAGACAGACAAGUCAGCAUUGAUAGUAAAGAAUAGUAAAAACUCACUGAAAAAUGGAAAAUCUUCAGGCUCAGAUUUGCCCCUGCUGGAUGAAGAUAAUGCUAUAUUGAGGUAUGGGCAUCAGUUUGUAGAUUAUCUUGGUAGAGGACUGGCAGAUAAUUGAAGCCAGGUAAGACUUGCAUCAUCUGGCAACCAGGAAGUUCCUUCAGAGUUUACCGUCAGAUCAAACCAGGCACAAGUUUUUCCCCAUUUUGUUACCUAGGAUGUGUCCUAAUAGAUAUUACGCAGCCGAAGGUCUCCGUAUUUACUCACAGGACACAUGGAAACAAGUGAUGGGAGAGCAGGGGAAACAACUGGUACAUCGGACAAGUGAAAAAGUAAAAAGUCGAGCGUUGCCCCUGCUCGGCGGUGACUCUUGUUAAAAAGAAUUUUUGGAAGGGAGAGAUCCCUCGGGUACAACAGAAACAAAAAGUUAAAAAUUGCAGAUUUGAAUUUAUUACAGGUGAACAAAGAUGUUGUGGACAUGCAUAUUCCAAUGUUGUUAGAGGCUCUUCUAAUCUGUUUAAGUGAUGACAGCUGGACAGUUAGAGAUGGUCAUCUAUACCAGCAUUGUAUCCACUGUUUUUCAACAAUCUACAAGAUGAUAUACCAUCAGUGCGGCAGGGGGCGUCCCUUGCUCUCCCAAGUGUAUAUGAUCAACUAAGCGUUCCAAGAUCUGAUAUGAAGAAAUUUGCAGAGGAGGUGUUUUAUGUUGUGCGUCAUUAGGAGAAAGAAAUAGUCUCUAUAGUUUCCAGUGCCGUAGAUGAAUUCUAGGAACAAAUACAGUAUGGGGAGCCAUUUACCGAUCUCAACCAUUCAGAAGCAUUUUAUACACAUGAAGAGAUUGGCUCAGAUUUGAUCAGUAACAGUAGACGUGUGUUCAAGAAACUAAUAUUUGACUUAUAUGGAAAAUUAUAAAGAGGAAGGAUAUGAUUCUCCCGUUGCUUGGCACAAACCAAAACUAACAAGUUUUAUAAAGUUAAAUGAGUGAUCUGAGUAUAUAAGAGCUUACACAUGAAUUUUAUAUUCUUGGGUUUGAAUUGAGAACAGAGAAUCAUGAAGUAGAGCUAAAAUGGCAUGAUCUAGAGAAUUUGUUUCCUAACCUUUUUGCAUUUGAAAUAUAAGGAAUUUUAUAUAUUUCUUUUCUACUCUAUUAAAAUAAUGCACUCAUCCUCUAGUUAUAUAUGAUAUUGCUCAUGUAUCAGUGUUAGAUUGUUUUGAAAAGUUAGAUAUAUAUUAAUGUAUGAAUGAUGUAAAAAAUACUUCCUGAAGGUCUAACAGUACCUGUAACAUGAAGGUCAAAGCCUGAAAUCCAAUCUGUCAAGAAUGCAAGUUAUAUAAACUUUGAGAAAUUGUGAUACCAUUUCAUUUUCAUACUAUUGUUUGUAACUUUUGAAAGUCUUUGAUUUCAUUUAAAAUGAAAGUGCUCACCCCAGAAUUCAACGAAACUUUAUGGGAAUCAUCAAUAUCAAGAGGUGAUGCGCAUAUCGUCGGCUUGUUCCGGUCAGACACUUUUAACUCAGAGUUAUUGCCCUUGAUUAGUUAUGUAGUAUGCAUAUAGAGUAAAAAUCGUUUCCGAGCUACUUCUCUGCAACUACUGGCUGGAACUCAACGAAACUUUAUGGGAACCUUCAAUACCAAGAGGAGAUGCGCAUAUCAUCGGCUUGUUCCGGGCAGACACUUUAACUCAGAGUUGUGGCCCUUGAUUAGUUAUGCUGUAUGCAUAUGGAGUAAAAAUCGUUCCCGCGCUACUUCUCUGCAACUACUGGCUGGAAUUCUUCGAAACUUUAUGGGAACCUUCAAUACCAAGAGGAGAUGCGCAUGUCGUCGACUUGUUCGGGUCAGACACUUUAACUCAGAGUUAUGGCCCUUGAUUAGUUUUGCAAUAUGCAUAUGGAGUAAAAAUCAUUUCCGGAGUAGUUCUCUGCAACUACUGGCUGGAAUUUAACGAAACUUUAUGGGAAUCAUCAAUAUCAAGAGGAGAUGCGCAUAUCGUCGGCUUGUUGCAGUCAGACCCUUUAACUCAGAGUAAUGGCCCUUGAUUAGUUAUGUAGUAUGCAUAUAGAGUAAAAAUCGUUUCCGCACUACUUCUCUGCAACUACUGGCUGGAAUUCAACAAAACUUUAUGGGAACCUUCAUUACCAAGAGGAGAUGCGCAUUUCAUCGGCUUGUUCCGGUCAGACACUUUAACUCAGAGUUAUGGCCCUUGAUUAGUCAUGCAGUAUCCAUAUAGAAAAAUAUUUGUUAUCUCGCUACUUUUCUGCUACCACCGGCUGGAAUUCAAUGAAACUUUAUGGGAUACUAAGAGGAGAUGUGCAUAUAUUCGCCUUGUUCCAGUCAGAUACUUAUAACUCAGAUUUAUGGCCCUUGAUUAGUUAUGUAGUAUGCAUACAUAUCAUUGGCAUUUCCAGAUUUUACUAUUUAACACAAAGUUAUGGCUCUGUUUUUACCCUGAAUAUUUAUCAAGUUCAAAGAAUAUUACUGUUUAUGCCAUGAUUAAUACAUAAAUAAAGCCUUAUGUCUUCAGUUGUUGUGUUAAUAAAACCAGUACUCGGUGGGGGAUAUAAAUUCAACGAAUUUGCUUGUUUUAUACAUAUACUCGUAUAUAUUCAACGAAUUUGCUUGUUUUAUACAUAUACUCGUAUAUUUGUAGUUGUAAUAGUGUAAGAUAAUGAAGAAGGAAACUAAAUUAUAAUUUAUUAUAUGUAGCAGUUAGACUUGUGCUAUAUUUAUAAACAAGCAAACUGAAAGAUUUUUUUUCUUCUAAAUUGUAAAGAAAAUAAAGAAAAAUAAAUGCUAACAACGAU
Molecule: long non-coding RNA, 3716 nt
Organism: Ruditapes philippinarum (Manila clam)
Lineage: Eukaryota; Metazoa; Mollusca; Bivalvia; Venerida; Veneridae
Exons: 8
Source: RefSeq, a predicted model, not a curated record